Long non-coding RNA from Tripterygium wilfordii, 1683 nucleotides. RefSeq lists it as uncharacterized. The record is from RefSeq and is a predicted model, not a curated record. The transcript has 2 exons. Lineage: Eukaryota; Viridiplantae; Streptophyta; Magnoliopsida; Celastrales; Celastraceae.
UUGGAGACAACUUGGAAAUUGCUAAGAAGGUUCAAGAGGCUAGCUUCUUUGUAACGCUUUUCCUUUUUUAUCCCCAAUCUUCUUUGCUAAAGGACUUGAAAGAGCAGACUACUCAUCUCAGCUUGUAGUUAUGGCUUCUUCUUCUUCUUCUUUUCUCCUUCUUCUUCAGUGAAACUAUGAUGUUUUUCAAUAGUUUUUGAAAGAUUGACACUCGACACAACAUUACCAGUCUUCUUCAAAGUGGAUCCAUCCCAUGUAAGAAACCAAUCAAGCUCUUUUGUCAAAGCAUCCCUCCAUGUUUGUAUCUUUGUAUAAAGGUCAUCCAAAGAUACCAACAUAGAGGGAUGUUUUGACAAUAGCUACUGCUUUAUUUGGAUGGGAUUCACAGCUCACAAGGAAACUUCUUCUCCCGAAAACUCAUCGUCUUCCUCCAUGGCUUCCGCCGGUGGUCGUUCUCAUGGAGAUGGCUCUGCUCUAGUAGCAGCUAAUGGCAAACCUGUCAUUGCAAUCAACGCAAAUUCUCAGCUUGCUCAAAAGCUCAGACCCACGAAUUUCACCUUGUGGAGGAUGCAACUUGUGACUGUAUUACGUGGUUAGCGGCUCAUGGGUUUUGUGGAUGGCACAACUCCUUGUCCACCUCAAUCUGAUGCUGAUGAUUUCGAUUAUUGGGAUAGGCAAGAUAGCCUAUUGCUCAACGCUAUUGUUGUAUCCUUGCAUGAAUCUGUGAGUCCACUUCUUGGAGAUGUUUCAACCAGUGCCACCUAGAACAAAUUGCAUCAAUUAUAUGCAAACAAAUCCAGAUCCAGAAAGAUCUAACUUCGCCAACAAUUGCACAACCUUGACUGGGGAACUCGCACAAUUGAAGAGUAUCUUCAUCAUGUUCAUCAGAUAGCUGAUGAACUAACUCUGGUCAAGAAUCCAGUAGAUGAGGAUGACCUUGUCCUGUAUAUCCUUGAUGGGCUGGGGGCAGAGUGCAAGGGCAUCGUUGAAGCUAUACGUGGGCGUGAAAACCCUAUCUCUUUUGAAGAUCUUCAUGAUCGAUUAACUAGUCAGGAGGCUUAUUUGAAGAAACUGGAGCAAAAUCAAAUGGUCAACAUUGCCAUUGCAAUUGCCAAUUUCUCUCAACGGCAACUAUCAACCCAUAAUAGAUCUCAACAAUCUGGAUCUUCUAAUUUCUCUCAACAGAGAUCCUUUCUUCUCGCCAAAACUAUGGAGGCGGUGGCAACGGAGCUCCUAACAGAUACAGCAAUGGUGGCCCAAAACAAGAAAGACCCCGUGUUAUGUGCCAGAUUUGUGAGAAACCUGGACAUUCAGCCAUAACUUGCAGAAAACUCAAAUCUUUUGUAGCAAAAUAUGCCCCAAGUGCCAAAUAUGCCACAAGUUCAGCUGGGUCAACACCUUCACAUGUGCAGCCAUGGUUGGUCGACUCUAGUGCAAGUCGCCACAUGACCUCUGAACUUGGGAAUCUCUCUAUACACUCUGAGUACGAUGUCACCGAUCUCUGCUCAUUUUGCUCAAAAGACAAGCUUGAGUGUGUGGCAUCAACAUUUGGGUCAUCCAUGUCAUGCCAUUUUGCAAUCUUUGUUAAACUAUACUUCUCUGUCAUCCUGAAACUUGACAGACCUUUUGAUUGUAAUUCCUGCAGUAUUAAUAAAAGUCAUAAGCUUCCAUUUGGCUCAUCAA